RNAcentral lists this ribosomal RNA (468 nucleotides) under uncultured bacterium. Its description in RNAcentral is "partial 16S ribosomal RNA". It matches the Rfam family "Bacterial small subunit ribosomal RNA", at positions 28 to 507 of the family's 1533-position model. The record is from RNAcentral.
GACGAACGCUGGCGGCGUGCUUAACACAUGCAAGUCGAACGGAAAGGCCCUGCUUUUGUGGGGUGCUCGAGUGGCGAACGGGUGAGUAACACGUGAGUAACCUGCCCUUGACUUUGGGAUAACUUCAGGAAACUGGGGCUAAUACCGGAUAGGAGCUCCCGCUGCAUGGUGGGGGUUGGAAAGUUUCGGCGGUUGGGGAUGGACUCGCGGCUUAUCAGCUUGUUGGUGGGGUAGUGGCUUACCAAGGCUUUGACGGGUAGCCGGCCUGAGAGGGUGACCGGCCACAUCGGGACUGAGAUACGGCCCAGACUCCUACGGGAGGCAGCAGUGGGGAAUAUUGCACAAUGGGCGGAAGCCUGAUGCAGCAACGCCGCGUGCGGGAUGACGGCCUUCGGGUUGUAAACCGCUUUCGCCUGUGACGAAGCGUGAGUGACGGUAAUGGGUAAAGAAGCACCGGCUAACUACGUG